This 496-nucleotide ribosomal RNA is filed under the name Varuna litterata. RNAcentral describes it as "partial large subunit ribosomal RNA". It matches the Rfam family "Archaeal large subunit ribosomal RNA", at positions 1940 to 2654 of the family's 2987-position model. Lineage: Eukaryota; Metazoa; Arthropoda; Malacostraca; Decapoda; Varunidae. The record is from RNAcentral.
AAAAGUUUAACCUGCCCGCUGAUUAAUAAAAAUUGAAUGGCCGCGGUAUUUUGACCGUGCAAAGGUAGCAUAAUCGUUAGUUUUUUAAUUGGAAUCUUGUAUGAAUGGUUGGACAAAAGAAAAUCUGUCUUUGUGUUAUAAAUUGAAUUUAACUUUUAAGUGAAAAGGCUUAAAUAAAUUAAAGUGACGAUAAGACCCUAUAAAGCUUUAUAUAAAUAUCCUAUUUAGUUUAAUUUUUAAUAAAAACUUAAUAGUUAAAUUUAUUUUAUUGGGGCGAUAAAGGUAAAAUUUUUAUUAACUGCUUUUAGUUUUAGACACAUUUAUUAAUGAUUAAAAUUUUAAAUGAUCCUAAUUAAAGAUUAGAAGUUUAAGUUACUUUAGGGAUAACAGCGUUAUUUUUUUUGAGAGUACUUAUCGAAAAAAAAGUUUGCGACCUCGAUGUUGAAUUAAAAUUUCUUUAUAAUUGCAGCAGUUAUACAAAGUAGGUCUGUUCGCC